Siniperca chuatsi (mandarin fish) is the source of this 439-nucleotide long non-coding RNA. RefSeq lists it as uncharacterized. The record is from RefSeq and is a predicted model, not a curated record. The transcript has 4 exons. Lineage: Eukaryota; Metazoa; Chordata; Actinopteri; Centrarchiformes; Sinipercidae.
UUUAGCUGGUGAGUUAAAAAAAUCCCCUACACCUAACGAUGUCGCAUUGCGCACACACAACAUCGACAGACACGACCAACCAAACACAUUGCUUGCUUUCAGUCUAAUUGUAGCUAACGUUAUCCAGAUGAUUUCCUUAACGUAGCUGAUGAGUGGCCGAUGGACAAACAUUAAUGUUAUAUUGGGAUUUCUAGUCAAUAAGACAUGCUCAACUGUCUCAGCCUCAUGGCAAAGACCACAAAGACCUGUUGGAUGUUUUCCUGUGAUGGAAAGUGUACUGUUAAGGAUACCUGAAUGUGCUGGGAUCCACAUGAAGACACAACACUGGACCGGGAUGCAGUGAGGGAACUUCACAGUCUAUUUCAGUAGGUUUACUGUGAUUCUACACACACACAGUUGAUGAAUGAGGAAAAUGAAAGGGAACGAAAAGUAGAAGAGG